UUUGUGUGACCCAGUUAGGUUUAAUUCUAUAUGGUAAUGAGAAAUGUCGUGAUCUCAUCAUCGACAUCAUCGAAACUCCUUUCGAUGGAUCAGAACUCUUCUGAUUCAGAUAAUUAGAAUGAUCGAUCAUCAAAAUUAUUCUAAUUGCUUUCAAAAUCCAUCAGUGAUACCUAGCAGUAUAUGGUGGCAACCCAUCAGAACUGAAGAUGAACCUCUCGGUGCAGCUACCUGUGUGAUUGAGUUCCUCUAUCAUGAGUCCCGACUGAAUU
Molecule: long non-coding RNA, 269 nt
Filed under: Elaeis guineensis (African oil palm)
Lineage: Eukaryota; Viridiplantae; Streptophyta; Magnoliopsida; Arecales; Arecaceae
Description: long non-coding RNA (EGUI_LNC064749)
Source: RNAcentral